AUGUUUACAGAUCUGUAUUCUGCCACUGCAUCCAUUUUGCUGCACAGCCUGAGGCCAUCACCACAUGAAACAGUGGCUGCAGGGCAGGUGAAGGGAUCUGCAAAUGUCAUGUGCUGUCAUCUUUCCACUGGCUGGCGUCAGAGCCCUCAGAGGCUCCGUGUUGGGACAGCUUCUCCCAUGGUGACAAAGUCCCUGGAAAUGAGGAGGAAGUUGAACGUGGACAUCACUUCUGCCCUGGAGUUUUUCCCCUUGAAGCCAUUGAAGACCAAGAACCCCAGUUCACACAAUGCUUUUGUUAUCAGUGGACUCCUCCUUGCCAUGCACCAAGCAACCUUGCAUGGCAGCUCUGCAUCUUGACACAAUCAAGUGUGAAGGCCAAGGGACAUCAAGAAAAGUAAGCUGCACGUUCCUCCCCCUUGGCUUGCCUCUCCUAGCCCUGCAAGACACAGAAGUUGAAAGUUAAGCUUUUGAGUUACCAGCAAUUUCCACUUUGGUGCAUUAUUGACUUUGCUGCAGCGCUUUUAUAAGCCUGUUUGUAAGACAAUAGACAAUGGGAGAAGUUGCUGAGGCUCCCAGUGGACAUAUGUUGACAAUAAACCCCUGUAACAGAGGUCA
RNAcentral lists this long non-coding RNA (615 nucleotides) under Junco hyemalis (dark-eyed junco). RNAcentral describes it as "lncRNA (ENSJHYG00000012688.1)". Lineage: Eukaryota; Metazoa; Chordata; Aves; Passeriformes; Passerellidae. The record is from RNAcentral.